CUGGCGGCAGGCCUAACACAUGCAAGUCGAACGAAGGCCCGGUGCUUGCACCGGUCACCUUAGUGGCAGACGGGAGAGUAACGCGUGGGAAUUUGCCCGAUAGUACGGAAUAACUGUUGGAAACGGCAGCUAAUACCGUAUACGCCCUCCGGGGGAAAGAUUUAUCGCUAUCGGAUAAGCCCGCGUCGGAUUAGCUAGUUGGUGAGGUAAAGGCUCACCAAGGCGACGAUCCGUAGCUGGUCUGAGAGGACGAUCAGCCUCACUGGGACUGAGACACGGCCCAGACUCCUACGGGAGGCAGCAGUGGGGAAUAUUGGACAAUGGGCGCAAGCCUGAUCCAGCCAUGCCGCGUGAGUGAAGAAGGCCUUAGGGUGUAAAGCUCUUUCAGCAGGGAAGAUGAUGACGGUACCGCAGAAGAAGCCCCGGCCAA
RNAcentral lists this ribosomal RNA (430 nucleotides) under uncultured Alphaproteobacteria bacterium. Its description in RNAcentral is "bacterial SSU rRNA". It matches the Rfam family "Bacterial small subunit ribosomal RNA", at positions 36 to 500 of the family's 1533-position model. Lineage: Bacteria; Pseudomonadati; Pseudomonadota; Alphaproteobacteria. The record is from RNAcentral.